Molecule: transfer RNA, 89 nt
Filed under: Candidatus Rhabdochlamydia sp. T3358
Lineage: Bacteria; Pseudomonadati; Chlamydiota; Chlamydiia; Parachlamydiales; Candidatus Rhabdochlamydiaceae
Description: tRNA-Ser
Rfam family: tRNA
About the family: Transfer RNA (tRNA) molecules are approximately 80 nucleotides in length. Their secondary structure includes four short double-helical elements and three loops (D, anti-codon, and T loops). Further hydrogen bonds mediate the characteristic L-shaped molecular structure. tRNAs have two regions of fundamental functional importance: the anti-codon, which is responsible for specific mRNA codon recognition, and the 3' end, to which the tRNAs corresponding amino acid is attached (by aminoacyl-tRNA synthetases). tRNAs cope with the degeneracy of the genetic code in two manners: having more than one tRNA (with a specific anti-codon) for a particular amino acid; and 'wobble' base-pairing, i.e. permitting non-standard base-pairing at the 3rd anti-codon position.
Source: RNAcentral
UGGAGGAGUGUUCGAGUGGCCGAUGGAGCACGCUUGGAAAGCGUGUGUACACGUAAGUGUACCGUGGGUUCGAAUCCCACCUCCUCCGA